UCAAAGGGGUGCCCCGUACGCGGGCUGAGAUCAUACCCUCGAACCUGAUGCAGGUAAUGCUGCCGUAGGAAUUGGAUAU
RNAcentral lists this non-coding RNA (79 nucleotides) under uncultured Bacteroides sp. RNAcentral describes it as "TPP riboswitch (THI element)". It matches the Rfam family "TPP riboswitch aptamer (THI element)", at positions 7 to 92 of the family's 105-position model. From Rfam's summary of the family: Vitamin B(1) in its active form thiamin pyrophosphate (TPP) is an essential coenzyme that is synthesised by coupling of pyrimidine and thiazole moieties in bacteria. The record is from RNAcentral. Lineage: Bacteria; Pseudomonadati; Bacteroidota; Bacteroidia; Bacteroidales; Bacteroidaceae.